AUCUUAUGAUUAUCAGUCAGUAUGUGAGCCCGGUGCUGCACCAAAACAAGGAGCAGGACAUCGCUCAGCAUAUGUGGUCAGUAAUAUCCACGGUCUAAUCAAUUCUCAAGGGGUACUCAAGUGUCCUCAGUAUCAAGUAGACUACUGAAAUGACCUUAUUAUUUUAUUUUAUAGCCAUCAGUAGCAGACAUAUUACAAAUUGGCUGGUGGGCCACUGCUGCUGCCUGGUCUAUUCUACAGCAGUUUCUCUUGAGUUUGACCUUUCCACGACUCCUUGAGGCAGUUGAGAUGGAGGAUGAUGACUUCACGGCCUCCCUGUCCAAGCAGAGCUGCAUUACUGAACAAACCCAGUAUUUCUUCGAUAACGACAGUAAAUCAUUCAGUGGUGUAUUAGACUGUGGAAACUGUUCCAG
RNAcentral lists this long non-coding RNA (413 nucleotides) under Homo sapiens (human). Its description in RNAcentral is "non-protein coding lnc-HGF-5:1". The record is from RNAcentral. Lineage: Eukaryota; Metazoa; Chordata; Mammalia; Primates; Hominidae.